Molecule: unclassified non-coding RNA, 2119 nt
Filed under: Hevea brasiliensis (rubber tree)
Lineage: Eukaryota; Viridiplantae; Streptophyta; Magnoliopsida; Malpighiales; Euphorbiaceae
Source: RNAcentral
GUUCUAACUUCUCCACUAGUAGGUCUGCAAGAUUCCAAUGGAUAUGCAAAUUAGUUCACGCAAGAAAACAAGAAUGUGAAUAAGAUUACACCUCAUUGAUCCAAAAAAUACACAGUUGAUCAUACUGAAUGGAAAAUGGAUUUCAACCUUUCCAACUUCAAGGAGAUGUUUACAGCCUUGUGCAGUGGUGCCAGUCUACAGGUGCAUUAAGCCAAACCUAAAUAUAUUUACAUAGGCAAGACAGUGUUUGUGCUUACGUCUAAGACUAAGAUGUAAUAUCAGAUGAUUUAUUAUUGUAUCUUUGGAAAAACAAUAAAAUCAGUCCUCCAGUUUGAGGAGAACCCAAAUAGAUCCCAGAUCUAUAUUGAAGGCAUAUGCACAUAGGGUGAGGUUAAUAAGAGAAGCAAAUAAAUAUAAAAGAGAAACCUCAAGUAAAAAAUGAAGACAAAAGAAAUAUAUAAGUUAUAUAGUAUCACAAAAUUUUAAGCCAAAAAGUAAUCAUAAUAAUGCAAACAUUUAGCAACAAAGGUCCACCAUGUCCCACUGUAUCUUCCAUUUACUAGUUAACUUUAGGCCUUAGACCUAAAAAUGACCUUCGCAUGUUUUGUUCACUGUUCCCCUAGACAUGCAAGUCCACAGUGAACAAAAAUGGCUGUAAUAAUUUCCUCUGAUCCGAUAAAUGCUUAUCCUGGCACUAAAAAUCUCUCCAGUAUAUGUUGCUAGUUUGUGCACCUCAAACUUUCUCUUGACAAGCAAUGUAAUGCAAAUUGCUGAUAUUUGCACAUCAAUGAUAUGAAACCCUUUAAGCAGCCAGAGGGCUUACUUAGACCUUAGGCAUGAAACUUUGUGAAUGAACUUAACACGUCUUACUCACACAAAGGAAUAAAUUUUAUAUUCUCGUAUUUUCUUCAAUAGAGGCAUGUUAUACACAUUUUAUACACUUCCAAAAAAAGUAAUCCAAUAAUGAAUUUUUCUUUUCUCCCCCUUUUAAUUUUUGCCUGAAAAUUUUCCUUAUUUGAUUAGUUAUCUCUUUCUACUAUUGUCACCUCUUAUUAAAAUCAUAUUUCAGAGCUUCCUUUUGAGUGACAUUGCUGCAGAGAGAAGAAAAGAAGGCUUGAGUUUGAUAAAAUGCUCUGGCACAAUAGCUAAGUCAACGAACCUUGCCAGCAAAGAAUCAAUUGACAAAUAAGGAAGAAGAAUUCAGGACUUGGAGCAAAAGUUCAUUAAUUUGAAGGAUAAUGAUGAUUUAGGUACUGAGAUUCAAUCUUGAAUGGAAAUCAAAUUCAACUAUUAUUUAUUGGAGGUUAGGAGUCCUAUCAGUAAUAAAGAUUCUCCGAUUGUAAAGCAGACACCAAAAAAAUUGGGCAUAGGGAGGGUUAGGCGUUACUUGGUAAGAAAGCGAAUGUGAAAUGAUAGAGUUUUGAUACAGUCUGUCAAUCAUGGUGAGUUUGUCCAAGAACAGUUGCUAGAAAGAGAAUGCAAUAAGAUACACAUUUUAUUGAAUUGGUGUAGACAAUGACAAGAAAGCGGUUCAAGGGUGUGGAAAGUUAUGUCUGAAUCAAAUUCAGACGUGCACCAGAAACAAGAUGUUCAUGUUUGAUACUGCUGAGGCUAAAUAGGAGUUCAUAGGUAGUAGCGCUCUUGGUCUUUGGAUGAGAAACCAUUUAUCUUGAAGCCAUUGACGCCUAAUAUUUAUAAUGAAAAGAUGUUUUUUUAUAGUGAAGGGUAUAAAGGACAUAGAACAACUUGUUUUACAAAGUUACAAUUACUAUCAAGUUCUAAAAAGAAACUUUUCAUGACACUUGGAAGAAAAAAAAGGGUAUCAAAGGGAAUCAAGUAAACGAGGUUAUUUACCUAUUGAGAGAAGCCACAAAAGCAAACUUAUUAGUCUAAUAAAAGUUCAAAAGAACUUAUUGAUCCUUAGCAGAGAAAAUUGACAGUAUUAGUAGUUUUCCCAAAACAAUUUCUUCCAUGAACCAACAUACAGUAACUACUCAAUUGUUUAAUUGUCAUCAUUACUUUAAAGAACCAAGCAAACUUAUGAACAGCAUUACUAACUUGAUGGAAAGAAGAAAGGACAGGAAAAUGCACUCACAAUCCACUUAAAACUUUGAUAGAG